RNAcentral lists this ribosomal RNA (483 nucleotides) under uncultured bacterium. Its description in RNAcentral is "bacterial SSU rRNA". It matches the Rfam family "Bacterial small subunit ribosomal RNA", at positions 28 to 509 of the family's 1533-position model. The record is from RNAcentral.
GACGAACGCUGGCGGCGUGCUUAAUACAUGCAAGUCAACUUGACUUUAGAUAGCAAUAUCGAAAAGUAGGGUGGCGCACGGGUGCGUAACGCGUAGGUAAUCUGCCCUGAGGUCUGACAUAACCCGUCGAAAGGCGGGCUAACAUCAGAUGAUAUAUAAUCACGACAUCGUGGAAAAUAUCAAAUCUUCGGAGCCUUGGGAUGAGCCUGCGUCUGAUUAGGUAGUUGGCGGAGUAAUAGCCCACCAAGCCUACGAUCAGUAGCUGGUCUGAGAGGAUGAUCAGCCACACUGGAACUGAGACACGGUCCAGACUCCUACGGGAGGCAGCAGUAAGGAAUAUUGCUCAAUGGGGGGAAACCCUGAAGCAGCAACGCCGCGUGAAGGAUGAAAUACUUUUGUAUGUAAACUUCUGUAAGAUGGGAAAAAUAUUCUCCUCGGAGAAUUGAUUGUACCAUCAGAGUAAGCCCCGGCUAACUACGUGCC